CCUACGGGAGGCUGCAGUGGGGGAUAUUGCACAAUGGGGGGAACCCUGAUGCAGCGACGCCGCGUGGGUGAAGAAGCGCCUCGGCGCGUAAAGCCCUGUCAGCAGGGAAGAAAAUGACGGUACCUGAAGAAGAAGCCCCGGCUAACUACGUGCCAGCAGCCGCGGGAAUACGUAGGGGGCACGCGUUAUCCGGAUUUACUGGGUGUAAAGGGGGCGCAGGCGGCGUUGCAAGCCAGGAGUGAAUGCCCGGGGCCCAACCCCGGGACUGCUCUUGAAACUGCGUGGCUGGAGUGCAGGAGGGGCAGGCGGAAUUCCUGGGGUAGCGGUGAAAUGCGUAGAUAGCAGGAGGAACACCGGUGGCGAAGGCGGCCUGCUGGACUGCAACUGACGUUGAGGCCCGAAAGCGUGGGGAGCAAACAGGAUUAGAUACCCGAGUAGUC
RNAcentral lists this ribosomal RNA (440 nucleotides) under uncultured bacterium. RNAcentral describes it as "partial 16S ribosomal RNA". It matches the Rfam family "Bacterial small subunit ribosomal RNA", at positions 338 to 795 of the family's 1533-position model. The record is from RNAcentral.